This 550-nucleotide transfer RNA is filed under the name Marmota monax (woodchuck). The record is from RNAcentral. Lineage: Eukaryota; Metazoa; Chordata; Mammalia; Rodentia; Sciuridae.
UGAUUUUGGUUUAGUUUGUUGCUCUUCUAGUGAACCUGAGAACAUAUGGGAGCUUUGGGAGCUUUUGGUUGAGUUCUUCUUGGUGCAGUGAAUCUUCAAGCGUUCUUUGUAGUGCUGGCUUAGUGGUCCUGAAGUCUUCUCGCUUAUUCUUUUUUUUUUUUUAAAGAGAGAGAGAGAGAGAAUUUUUUAAUAUUUAUUUUUUAGUUUUCAGUGGACACAACAUCUUUGUUUGUAUGUGGUGCUGAGGAUGGAACCCGGGCCGCACGCAUGCCAGGCGAGCACGUUACCGCUUAAGCCACAUCCCCAGCCCUUCUCGCUUAUUCUUAUCAUGGAAAAUUUUGAUUUCUCCGUUGAUUCUCAAAGAUAACUUUGCUAAACACAGUAAUCUUGGCUGGCAAUUGUUUUCUUUUAGAGCUUGUAAUGUCUCAUUCUGGGCCUUCCUUGGUUUUAGGGUCUGAGCUCAGAAGUCAGCUGUGAGCUGUAGUAGUCCAUUUAUUUUGUUUUGAGACAGGGUCUUGUUAAGUUGCAAUCUAAAUUUCCUCAAACUUGC